This 1023-nucleotide ribosomal RNA is filed under the name uncultured bacterium. RNAcentral's name for it is "bacterial SSU rRNA". It matches the Rfam family "Bacterial small subunit ribosomal RNA", at positions 355 to 1375 of the family's 1533-position model. The record is from RNAcentral.
UGAGGAAUAUUGGUCAAUGGCCGGGAGGCUGAACCAGCCAAGUCGCGUGAGGGAAGACGGUCCUACGGAUUGUAAACCUCUUUUGUCGGGGAGCAAAGGCGGCUACGCGUAGCCGGAUGAGAGUACCCGAAGAAAAAGCAUCGGCUAACUCCGUGCCAGCAGCCGCGGUAAUACGGAGGAUGCGAGCGUUAUCCGGAUUUAUUGGGUUUAAAGGGUGCGCAGGCGGAGCGCCAAGUCAGCGGUCAAAUAUCGGGGCUCAACCCCGACCUGCCGUUGAAACUGGCGUUCUAGAGUGGGCGAGAAGUAUGCGGAAUGCGUGGUGUAGCGGUGAAAUGCAUAGAUAUCACGCAGAACUCCGAUUGCGAAGGCAGCAUACCGGCGCCCAACUGACGCUCAUGCACGAAAGCGUGGGUAUCGAACAGGAUUAGAUACCCUGGUAGUCCACGCAGUAAACGAUGAAUACUAACUGUCCGGGCCGAAUGGGGCCUGGGUGGUACAGCGAAAGCGUUAAGUAUUCCACCUGGGGAGUACGCCGGCAACGGUGAAACUCAAAGGAAUUGACGGGGGCCCGCACAAGCGGAGGAACAUGUGGUUUAAUUCGAUGAUACGCGAGGAACCUUACCCGGGCUUGAACUGUGCCCGACUGCCUCAGAGAUGGGGCUUCCAGCAAUGGCAGGCAUGGAGGUGCUGCAUGGUUGUCGUCAGCUCGUGCCGUGAGGUGUCGGCUUAAGUGCCAUAACGAGCGCAACCCCUCCCGCCAGUUGCCAUCAGGUAAAGCUGGGCACUCUGGGGGCACUGCCACCGCAAGGUGUGAGGAAGGUGGGGAUGACGUCAAAUCAGCACGGCCCUUACGUCCGGGGCUACACACGUGUUACAAUGGGAGGUCACAGAGGGCUGCUACCCGGCGACGGGACGCCAAUCCCCAAACCCUCCCUCAGUACGGACUGGAGUCUGCAACCCGACUCCACGAAGCUGGAUUCGCUAGUAAUCGCGCAUCAGCCACGGCGCGGUGAAUACGUUCCC